GUAGCUAACGCAUUAAGCGCCCCGCCUGGGGAGUACGGCCGCAAGGCUAAAACUCAAAGGAAUUGACGGGGGCCCGCACAAGCGGCGGAGCAUGCGGAUUAAUUCGACGCAACGCGAAGACCCUUACCAAGGCUUGACAUAACCGAGAACGCCGCAGAAAUGUGGAACUCUUUGGACACUCGGUUACAGGUGGUGCAUGGUUGUCGUCAGCUCGUGUCGUGAGAUGUUGGGUUAAGUCCCGCAACGAGCGCAACCCUCGUCGCAUGUUGCCAGCACGUAGUGGUGGGAACUCAUGUGAGACUGCCGGGGUCAACUCGGAGGAAGGUGGGGAUGACGUCAAAUCAUCAUGCCCCUUAUGUCUUGGGCUUCACGCAUGCUACAAUGGCCGGUACAAAGGGCUGCGAUGUCGUAAGGCGGAGCGAAUCCCAAAAAGCCGGUCUCAGUUCGGAUUGAGGUCUGCAACUCGACCUCAUGAAGUCGGAGUCGCUAGUAAUCGCAGAUCAGCAACGCUGCGGUGAAUACGUUCCCGGGCCUUGUACACACCGCCCGUCAAGUCAUGAAAGUCGGUAACACCCGAAGCCGGUGGCCUAACCCUUGUGGAGGAGCCGUCGAAGUGGAUCGGUAGGUCCCC
Molecule: ribosomal RNA, 631 nt
Filed under: uncultured bacterium
Lineage: Bacteria
Description: bacterial SSU rRNA
Rfam family: Bacterial small subunit ribosomal RNA
Source: RNAcentral